Long non-coding RNA from Neopsephotus bourkii (Bourke's parrot), 735 nucleotides. RefSeq lists it as uncharacterized. The record is from RefSeq and is a predicted model, not a curated record. NCBI's taxonomy places the organism in Eukaryota, Metazoa, Chordata, Aves, Psittaciformes, Psittacidae. The transcript is spliced from 2 exons.
AGCCAGUUGACUUAUUUGCUUAGUAUCAAAAGCCAUGGAAUAAAACACAACAACAUCUCUCUCCAUCUGCCAUUUCAGGGAUUAGACCUUUCCUUCAGCCAGCCAGCAAAAGAGGCCAAGGCAGCAAACUGGUGCGUACAGUCAGAGAUGGAAAGUGGUCACUGAUGGGAGCUGCUGUUGAGGCUAAGUGCAUCUCAGCAAGCCAUCAGGAGCAGGAACAAGCAGCCCUGGCCAGGGACAUAUUUUGGAGGGAAAGCUGCAGCAACAUCAUGUUUAGAAAAGAUGCUUGAACUCCCAUCUAAGUGUUCAUGGAAGCUAUUUUCACCUUCAGCUGCUGCAGAUUUGUUCCUGGGAUGGUGGCUGCACCGAGCGGCUGACACAGACCUGAGAAUCAAUCAAAAGUAAUUGAAACAGAAGAGGCUCAGCAAUCAACCUAUUAGGUUGCUGGAGCCAGAAAAACGCUGCAAUGAGGAGCCACAGAAAGCAGAACAGGCUUCCCUUCUGAAAACUUAAUGUGAGGAAGAAGCUUUGGCUGCGCUGUUGUUUCUUACCAGAAGAAUGAAAAUCUGUGGGAUUCUUUCUGUGUAUUUUCAUCCCCUUUAAUGGGAAGGGGAGAAAGGAAAGAAACCAUUAGCUGUAAAAAAUGCCAUAGAAUCACAGAAUGGUUAAUCUCAUACUCUUUUCUUUCCCUCACUCCCGCCUUCUAUAUGCAACAAAAUGAUUCUUUGCUCUCAA